UACGUAGGGGGCAAGCGUUGUCCGGAUUUAUUGGGCGUAAAGAGCGUGUAGGCGGCCAAGCAGGUCAGCUGUGAAAACUCGAGGCUCAACCUCGAGACGUCGGUUGAAACCGCUUGGCUAGAGUCCGGAAGAGGAGAGUGGAAUUCCCGGUGUGGCGGUGAAAUGCGCAGAUAUCAGGAGGAACACCGGUGGCGAAGGCGGUUCUCUGGGCAUUACCUGACGCUGAGGAGCGAAAGUGUGGGGAGCGAACAGG
This 253-nucleotide ribosomal RNA is filed under the name uncultured bacterium. RNAcentral's name for it is "partial 16S ribosomal RNA". It matches the Rfam family "Bacterial small subunit ribosomal RNA", at positions 524 to 776 of the family's 1533-position model. The record is from RNAcentral.